Molecule: long non-coding RNA, 1641 nt
Filed under: Homo sapiens (human)
Lineage: Eukaryota; Metazoa; Chordata; Mammalia; Primates; Hominidae
Description: Prader-Willi region non-protein coding RNA 1
Source: RNAcentral
ACAGCCUCCAUCUUCUGUGCUUAAGGAUCCUUCCCUCUCAACCUCCAAGGUAGCUGAGACUACAGGCAACAUUCGAAACCCAGGUGCCACUCCUUCAGGAAGGUACCAUCAAGCUCCAAGGACUCAUCCUCUUUCUCCUUCCCCACUACCUAGUCAUUAGAGCGUCAGCAUCCACUUCCUGAAAGGAAGAUGCCUGUUUUUCACAUAUCCCAGAAAGCCUCAUUUUAGGACAGCAUUUAGCAGAGUGUAUUCAGGAUCCCACUAACCUUUUCGGAAGACAUGACUUCCAGAUGAUAUAAGGCAAGAAUAAGAAAUUUCAGUGACAGGGAACAGAAAUCAUAUUUCUGCAUUCAGGAUCAUGUUUUCUUGGCUCCAUCAGGAACUGUGCAGGACUGUGCACUCUGUUGAUACUCACAUGGUGGAAUUAUAUUGCCCUUGGCCAACCCUAAAGCCAUCAAGAUAGCAGAAUUAAUGAAGGAUCAUUAUUAAGUUUUUAAUGGGUCAAGAGAAAGUUACCACUGAGGUCUUCUCUACCUGGGCAACAAUUGACUCCUAACAACCACUAUAAGCUUGGAAGAUGAUCCCUCCCCAGCUGAUCCUUCAGGUCAUGCAUGCACUUCCAAUUUAUACUAACCAUGGAUGGAAACAGCCUACACUUCAGAAAAAAAGUGCCACUCAAGUCUUUCACGAUGUACCCUAAGGAUCCACAGCAAUUACUUAUAAUCUGUGAUUCUAGUCAUUGACCCCAACAAGUCAUUUUGCAGAUAUAGGUGGGAUCCAUGGAUCAGAAAACUCAAAGCAGUCGGCUUAUGGCCAUGUGGUGUCUAAACAUCUGAAACUGAUUGCUGCCUACGAGGAAGUGCAAAUAAGCGGGAUCUGCAGCUGCCCAAGACAGGGGACCCAAAGGGAGAGAGCAGUGUGGCAAGCAAAAGGCAUGCUGAAGAGGCAGUGAGCCAAGGCUCAGACUUUGACAGUCCUCUGAUAUACUUUAUAUGUAAAUAGAUGGCUGAGUGUUCUGGCUGAUGAACAUGGGUUACUUAACCAGAGUUAAGCGAGGACUUUCUCACCUGAAACCACCAAGAGACACAAAAGCCAGAAAAGGACAGAAAUUAAUUCAAGGGUCAACAAAUAGAGUCGGCUUUCUUUAAGACCUGAAGUGUAGAAGUCUAGGUUGAACCCUAGGUUGAUUACGUUGAAGACUACAUUCUCCUGUGAAGCAAGCAUUCCUAAAGGGUCUCUACUUUUUGUAGCCUGGGGAUUUUCUACUCCCCCAACAGCCAGAUGAGGCAGAAACCCCUACAGACAUCCCUAUGUGCCUCCUGUGCAAGUGCAGUUGCCCCUUGAAGGCAGUUCUCCUGCUGCAGACCACGCCCACCAAGGGCAGAGUCACAGCCACUGCAGCUGAGCUCAGAGCCUUCUGUGGGGUCUGCAGGGGCAAGGCCAGCUGUCCCCUGGGAUAGUUUGAAGAAUGCAGUUUGUUUGUAUAAUAAAGAUGUUUCUCUACGUCAUUCAUCUUGCUAAUCAAGGACGUUUAACAGCUUCAGACUUUCCUGGUAAUAUUUGUUCUUGCCUUUUUUUGGCAAAUAUAGUUAACACUUCUAUGCAUUUUUUACCUCACAUAAACAUCAUCUAAAACCAUUC